GCCAGGCAUUGUGGCGGGUGCCUGUGGUCCCAGCUACUUGGGAGGCUGAGGCAGGAGACUCACUUGAGCUCAGGAGUUGGAGGUUGCUGUGAGCUGUGGUGCCAUGCCAUGGCACUCUGCCCAGGGGGAUAGCUUGAGGCUCUGUCUCAAAAAAAAAGAUGAUCUAGCUUUUUAUUUAUUUAUUUAUUUAAAAAUAGAGUCUCACUUUGUUGCCCUUGGUAGAGUGCCAUGGCAUCACAGCGCACAGCAAUCUCUAGCUCUUGGGCUUAGGCGAUUCUCUUGCC
This 284-nucleotide small RNA is filed under the name Otolemur garnettii (small-eared galago). RNAcentral's name for it is "Metazoan signal recognition particle RNA (ENSOGAG00000025612.1)". Lineage: Eukaryota; Metazoa; Chordata; Mammalia; Primates; Galagidae. The record is from RNAcentral.